CUCUUAUUCAGAGUGGUGGAGGUACAAGGACCGAAGAAGCCACGGCAACCCCGACAUUUGUCAGGAAGGUGCCAACCUGAGCAGACACAAGUUUGAUCAAUAAGAG
Regulatory RNA element from Eubacterium sp. CAG:161, 106 nucleotides. It matches the Rfam family "SAM riboswitch aptamer (S box leader)". From Rfam's summary of the family: The SAM riboswitch is found upstream of a number of genes which code for proteins involved in methionine or cysteine biosynthesis in Gram-positive bacteria. The SAM riboswitch acts at the level of transcription termination control. NCBI's taxonomy places the organism in Bacteria, Bacillati, Bacillota, Clostridia, Eubacteriales, Eubacteriaceae. The record is from Rfam.